AGCGGCGGACGGGUGAGUAACACGUGGGUAACCUGCCCAAGAGACUGGGAUAACACCUGGAAACAGAUGCUAAUACCGGAUAACAACACUAGACGCAUGUCUAGAGUUUGAAAGAUGGUUCUGCUAUCACUCUUGGAUGGACCUGCGGUGCAUUAGCUAGUUGGUAAGGUAACGGCUUACCAAGGCAAUGAUGCAUAGCCGAGUUGAGAGACUGAUCGGCCACAUUGGGACUGAGACACGGCCCAAACUCCUACGGGAGGCAGCAGUAGGGAAUCUUCCACAAUGGACGAAAGUCUGAUGGAGCAACGCCGCGUGAGUGAAGAAGGGUUUCGGCUCGUAAAGCUCUGUUGGUAGUGAAGAAAGAUAGAGGUAGUAACUGGCCUUUAUUUGACGGUAAUUACUUAGAAAGUCACGGCUAACUACGUGCCAGCAGCCGCGGUAAUACGUAGGUGGCAAGCGUUGUCCGGAUUUAUUGGGCGUAAAGCGAGUGCAGGCGGUUCAAUAAGUCUGAUGUGAAAGCCUUCGGCUCAACCGGAGAAUUGCAUCAGAAACUGUUGAACUUGAGUGCAGAAGAGGAGAGUGGAACUCCAUGUGUAGCGGUGGAAUGCGUAGAUAUAUGGAAGAACACCAGUGGCGAAGGCGGCUCUCUGGUCUGCAACUGACGCUGAGGCUCGAAAGCAUGGGUAGCGAACAGGAUUAGAUACCCUGGUAGUCCAUGCCGUAAACGAUGAGUGGUA
RNAcentral lists this ribosomal RNA (737 nucleotides) under uncultured bacterium. Its description in RNAcentral is "bacterial SSU rRNA". It matches the Rfam family "Bacterial small subunit ribosomal RNA", at positions 94 to 818 of the family's 1533-position model. The record is from RNAcentral.